This 380-nucleotide ribosomal RNA is filed under the name uncultured eukaryote. RNAcentral's name for it is "partial 18S ribosomal RNA". It matches the Rfam family "Eukaryotic small subunit ribosomal RNA", at positions 592 to 976 of the family's 1831-position model. The record is from RNAcentral.
CAAUAGCGUAUAUUAAAGUUGUUGCGGUUAAAAAGCUCGUAGUUGGAUUUCUGCCGAGGACGACCGGUCCGCCCUCUGGGUGUGUAUCUGGUUUGGCCUGGGCAUCUUCUUGGAGAACGUAGCUGCACUUGACUGUGUGGUGCGGUGUCCAGGACUUUUACUUUGAGGAAAUUAGAGUGUUUCAAGCAGGCACACGCCUUGAAUACAUUAGCAUGGAAUAAUAAGAUAGGACCUCGGUUCUAUUUUGUUGGUUUCUAGAGCUGAGGUAAUGAUUAAUAGGGAUAGUUGGGGGCAUUCGUAUUUAACUGUCAGAGGUGAAAUUCUUGGAUUUGUUAAAGGCGGACUACUGCGAAAGCAUUUGCCAAGGAUGUUUNCAUUGA